This is a long non-coding RNA of Hipposideros armiger (great roundleaf bat), 352 nucleotides long. RefSeq lists it as uncharacterized. The record is from RefSeq and is a predicted model, not a curated record. The transcript is spliced from 3 exons. NCBI's taxonomy places the organism in Eukaryota, Metazoa, Chordata, Mammalia, Chiroptera, Hipposideridae.
AUAACAAAGGCUUACCCCCGGGUUAAAUUGGCAGGAAUGAAGAGAAAACAAUGGAUACAAGAAAAAUCCUCAGGCAGAGGAAGAAGACCUAUGAGGGCUCAUUGGGUGCAGAAGAAGCUAAGGACCAUGACCAUCGCACCCAAGCUGAUAAGCUUCUAGAUAGAACGUUAAAAGGCUGCAGUCCCGCUUUUCAGUGUUCUCAGAGUCCAGAGAUUGAGUUCAAUUGAUGAUACCUUUGAGUCUGCUGAUCUCCUACAAUAAUAAUGUAGAGGUAACGAGGUUGAGACAAGGAGAGGUUUGCUGAUCGCUGGAGGUCAGAUGAACAGCUCCUGAAGAGUGGAGUCUGCACCUG